Molecule: ribosomal RNA, 1240 nt
Filed under: metagenome
Description: SSU rRNA
Rfam family: Eukaryotic small subunit ribosomal RNA
Source: RNAcentral
AGUCUGGUGCCAGCAGCCGCGGUAAUUCCAGCUCCAAUAGCGUAUAUUAAAGUUGUUGCGGUUAAAAAGCUCGUAGUUGGAUCUCGGUUUCACUCAGGCGGUACACCUUGCGGUGUUCACUGUCUGGGCGGACGUUUCUGUUGGUUCGCUGUUGGUUCUCUUAAUCGAGUGCCAAUUGGUGGCCAGCACGUUUACUUUGAAAAAAUUGGAGUGCUCAAAGCAGGCGUUACAGCCUGAACAUUAGUGCAUGGAAUAAUGGAAUAGGAUCUCGAUUCUAUCUCGUUGGCUUUCGGAGUCGAGGUAAUGAUUAAUAGACAGACGGGGGCAUUCGUACUGCGACGUUAGAGGUGAAAUUCUUGGAUCGUCGCAAGACGAACUACUGCGAAAGCAUUUGCCAAGAAUGUUUUCAUUAAUCAAGAACGAAAGUUAGAGGUUCGAAGGCGAUCAGAUACCGCCCUAGUUCUAACCAUAAACGAUGCCAACCGGCGAUCCGUCGUCGUUAAUUGAAUGACUCGACGGGCAGCCUCCGGGAAACCAGAGUGUUUGGGUUCCGGGGGAAGUAUGGUUGCAAAGCUGAAACUUAAAGGAAUUGACGGAAGGGCACCACCAGGAGUGGAGCCUGCGGCUUAAUUUGACCCAACACGGGAAAUCUCACCAGGCCCGGACACCGGAAGGAUUGACAGAUUGAGAGCUCUUUCUUGAUUCGGUGGGUGGUGGUGCAUGGCCGUUCUUAGUUGGUGGAGCGAUUUGUCUGGUUAAUUCCGAUAACGAACGAGACUCUGGCCUACUAACUAGAAGGGUCGUUCUUUACGAGCGGCCCUCUGCUUCUUAGAGGGACGGGCGGCGUUUAGCCGCACGAGAAUGAGCAAUAACAGGUCUGUGAUGCCCUUAGAUGUUCUGGGCUGCACGCGCGCUACACUGAAGGAAUCAGCAUGUUCUCCCCUCCCUGAAAAGGGCGGGUAACCCGUUGAAACUCCUUCGUGAUGGGGAUUGGAGAUUGUAAUUAUUCUCCAUGAACGAGGAAUUCCCAGUAGGCGCGAGUCAUCAGCUUGCGUCGAUUACGUCCCUGCCCUUUGUACACACCGCCCGUCGCUACUACCGAUCGAGUGAUUUAGUGAGGACUUCGGACUGGUCUCCAAGUUGGCUUCGGUCAGCUCGGAGUCCCGGAAAGAUGCCCAAACUUGAUCACUUAGAGGAAGUAAAAGUCGUAACAAGGUUUCCGUAGGUGAACCUGCGGAAG